CACCCCAACAACUACAGUUAUUUUCACAUAAGCCCUCGCAAUGUUCCAAAGACGACACCGUUUUAUACCCCAUUAAUUCUUUAAACGGUAAAUCCACCCCUUUCCUUCUCAAAACGCGGAAGUCGUUUUUGGUUUUAGUUUCUCCGUUGCUGCAAAGGUCACCGGACUGAACAGCAAGGCACUCACCAGAACUAAACUCCGUGCGAUUAUCCAAGCAGGAACAACCCGACCCGGGUUGGCAAAAACCGUAGGAACCGCAGGGACUAGGCAAAUCGCACAUGGCAGAAAUCGCCUGGUAAUCCAAUGCCCAGGUGGAUCCAUCCCAAAAGUAUCCUUUUAGGUUUCCGUCCGAUUCUAAUCGGACUAAGAGGAAUCGGUUGAUGGGUUGCUGAUAGCUGUUAAAAGGUUGAAC
Molecule: unclassified non-coding RNA, 412 nt
Filed under: Hevea brasiliensis (rubber tree)
Lineage: Eukaryota; Viridiplantae; Streptophyta; Magnoliopsida; Malpighiales; Euphorbiaceae
Source: RNAcentral